GAUGAACGCUGGCGGCGUGCCUAAUACAUGCAAGUCGAGCGAACAGACGAGGAGCUUGCUCCUUUGACGUUAGCGGCGGACGGGUGAGUAGCACGUAGGUAACCUACCUAUAAGACUGGGAUAACUUCGGGAAACCGGAGCUAAUACCGGAUAAUAUUUCGAACCGCAUGGUUCGAUAGUGAAAGAUGGCUUUGCUAUCACUUAUAGAUGGACCUGCGCCGUAUUAGCUAGUUGGUAAGGUAACGGCUUACCAAGGCAACGAUACGUAGCCGACCUGAGAGGGUGAUCGGCCACACUGGAACUGAGACACGGUCCAGACUCCUACGGGAGGCAGCAGUAGGGAAUCUUCCGCAAUGGGCGAAAGCCUGACGGAGCAACGCCGCGUGAGUGAUGAAGGUCUUCGGAUCGUAAAACUCUGUUAUUAGGGAAGAACAAACGUGUAAGUAACUGUGCACGUCUUGACGGUACCUAAUCAGAAAGCCACGGCUAACUACGU
This 496-nucleotide ribosomal RNA is filed under the name uncultured bacterium. RNAcentral describes it as "partial 16S ribosomal RNA". It matches the Rfam family "Bacterial small subunit ribosomal RNA", at positions 28 to 506 of the family's 1533-position model. The record is from RNAcentral.